Tinamus guttatus (white-throated tinamou) is the source of this 100-nucleotide non-coding RNA. The record is from RefSeq and is a predicted model, not a curated record. Lineage: Eukaryota; Metazoa; Chordata; Aves; Tinamiformes; Tinamidae.
CUUUUUUGCCAAAAAGGCCUUUGAAGAGGUUAGCAAAAAUAUUUCCCAUGGUUGAGAUAUGGUGUCACUGGCCAGUAAGUCGGCGUGGGCUGCUCUGCUG